RNAcentral lists this long non-coding RNA (232 nucleotides) under Elaeis guineensis (African oil palm). Its description in RNAcentral is "long non-coding RNA (EGUI_LNC012410)". Lineage: Eukaryota; Viridiplantae; Streptophyta; Magnoliopsida; Arecales; Arecaceae. The record is from RNAcentral.
CGGUGAGGUGGCAUGAUCUGGAAGUAGGUGCAUCAAACCGUCUGAUCAAUGAUCGAUUCUGAUGUAGCCACAUGUCGACAUCUGAGGAAAUCCUGAUUUAAAUGACUUUAUUCGGACCGUUGAGGAGUCCUAUACGUAUAAAGCUACUUUUAUUUGGACUUUCUAUUUUUGCAUUCGUCAUUCUCCUCUACAACAGAAGGUUUUGCCCUAGUGUUGAGAGCUUUUGAAGUUU